This 1020-nucleotide ribosomal RNA is filed under the name Neophaeosphaeria filamentosa. Its description in RNAcentral is "SSU rRNA". It matches the Rfam family "Eukaryotic small subunit ribosomal RNA", at positions 75 to 1105 of the family's 1831-position model. RNAcentral also lists the same sequence under 2 other names. The record is from RNAcentral. Lineage: Eukaryota; Fungi; Ascomycota; Dothideomycetes; Pleosporales; Neophaeosphaeriaceae.
UAUACCGUGAAACUGCGAAUGGCUCAUUAAAUCAGUUAUCGUUUAUUUGAUAGUACCUUACUACUUGGAUAACCGUGGUAAUUCUAGAGCUAAUACAUGCUGAAAACCCCAACUUCGGGAGGGGUGUAUUUAUUAGAUAAAAAACCAACGCCCUUCGGGGCUUCUUGGUGAUUCAUGAUAACUUUACGGAUCGCAUGGCCUUGCGCCGGCGACGGUUCAUUCAAAUUUCUGCCCUAUCAACUUUCGAUGGUAAGGUAUUGGCUUACCAUGGUUUCAACGGGUAACGGGGAAUUAGGGUUCGAUUCCGGAGAGGGAGCCUGAGAAACGGCUACCACAUCCAAGGAAGGCAGCAGGCGCGCAAAUUACCCAAUCCCGACACGGGGAGGUAGUGACAAUAAAUACUGAUACAGGGCUCUUUUGGGUCUUGUAAUUGGAAUGAGUACAAUUUAAACCUCUUAACGAGGAACAAUUGGAGGGCAAGUCUGGUGCCAGCAGCCGCGGUAAUUCCAGCUCCAAUAGCGUAUAUUAAAGUUGUUGCAGUUAAAAAGCUCGUAGUUGAAACUUGGGUCUGGCUGGCAGGUCCGCCUCACCGCGUGUACUUGUCCGGCCGGGCCUUCCUUCUGGAGAACCUCAUGCCCUUCACUGGGCGUGUUGGGGACCAGGACUUUUACUUUGAAAAAAUUAGAGUGUUCAAAGCAGGCCUUUGCUCGAAUACGUUAGCAUGGAAUAAUAGAAUAGGACGUGCGGUCCUAUUUUGUUGGUUUCUAGGACCGCCGUAAUGAUUAAUAGGGACAGUCGGGGGCAUCAGUAUUCAAUUGUCAGAGGUGAAAUUCUUGGAUUUAUUGAAGACUAACUACUGCGAAAGCAUUUGCCAAGGAUGUUUUCAUUAAUCAGUGAACGAAAGUUAGGGGAUCGAAGACGAUCAGAUACCGUCGUAGUCUUAACCGUAAACUAUGCCGACUAGGGAUCGGGCGAUGUUCUUUUUCUGACUCGCUCGGCACCUUACGAGAAAUCAAAGUU